AAGUCGUAACAAGGUUUCCGUAGGUGAACCUGCGGAAGGAUCAUCAAUGAAUUCCAAAUUCAACCUGGCUUUGGUGACCUUUUGGCCAUGUGCUAGAAGGUUGUCACUGCCUAUCAACCACCAGUCUUUGUCUUUGCGGGAGGUGUCUUUUGUUUCGAGCAAGAGCAGAGCCCUUUUUGCAAUUGACUUUGACUUUUUUUUUUGAGUUUGGCAGGUUCGCUUGUAGUUUUUGGGCUUUGGUUUCGGCUGGGUGUUCUCAGUCAAAAUUUGACCUUGGCAACUUGCAACCUCCAUUCUCGUCAUUGUGGGCAAAACAAAUUGAAAUUAAAAUACAACUUUUAACGAUGGAUCUCUUGGCUCCC
Molecule: unclassified non-coding RNA, 362 nt
Filed under: fungal sp.
Lineage: Eukaryota; Fungi
Description: partial internal transcribed spacer region
Rfam family: Eukaryotic small subunit ribosomal RNA (bases 1-46)
Source: RNAcentral